GGUGGCUCAGUGGUAGAGCACUUGCCUUGCAUGCAUGAGGCCCUUGGUUCGAUUCCUCGGCACUA
Non-coding RNA from Dipodomys ordii (Ord's kangaroo rat), 65 nucleotides. NCBI's taxonomy places the organism in Eukaryota, Metazoa, Chordata, Mammalia, Rodentia, Heteromyidae. The record is from Rfam.